Impatiens glandulifera is the source of this 1735-nucleotide long non-coding RNA. RefSeq lists it as uncharacterized. The transcript has 2 exons. NCBI's taxonomy places the organism in Eukaryota, Viridiplantae, Streptophyta, Magnoliopsida, Ericales, Balsaminaceae. The record is from RefSeq and is a predicted model, not a curated record.
CUCCAGCCGUAAUGGUUUCUCUCUCUUCAUAUCUAUGCCUUUGAGGAUUUGUUGCUGUGAUCUCUAAUUCGCUUGGUGCAGAUCGGGAACUGCUUCUCCGGUGAAGGAGGCGAUACAAUUUUUAUAUUUAUCGCCGACCGAAGUAGCUCCCGCCUUGCAUCAACUGAAUCGGAGAUCGCAGUGAAUGCGGUUAGAUUUUCGUUUCUACUGAUCUAGGUCUUGAGCUGAUUGGAUUUUCAUGUUGCGUAGAUGAUAGAUCGUCUUCGUUCUAAUAGAUCUGGAUGACUUAUUAGAUCUGGAGUUUGUUAUUUGAUUGAUUUGAUCUGUUACUUUCUAUUUGAUCCAAUAGUUUCGUCUCAUGAUCUAUCUCUACAUGAUUUAUUACUUUGCUAAAUCUGCAUGAUAUAAAGGAGAUUUAUCAAUUUACUUCAUUGCAGUCAUUAUUUAACUAAAAAUGGAAAAUUUGGAGCAUGGCUAAACAAAAAGGUUGAUUCUUGUUGUUCUGUUUUAAUUGAUGCUUCUGAAUCUGAACUUUUCACCUAUUUGUUCCUUUUAUCUGUAGCUUCAUUUUAGUUAUGAUGUUUAUUGAACAAGAUGCAUUACUGUACUUGAAUCUUAGGAAGAUCCUUGAUAUAUUAUUCAUAUUGCUAGCUCCAAUUGACUAUGUGAAGGUUUCAAUGAUUUCAAUUGCAUACCAAUUAGGCAAUGUUUAAACAUUCUAUGCUUGCAAUUGAUCAUUUCUAAUUCAUUUCAACAUUAUAUUUCAUGAGAAUGGUCCAAGUUCUUCAGAUGAGAAAACAGUUUCAUUUCAACAUAAUAUUCAUACUUAACUGCUACUAACAAGAAUGCUGAAUAAGGAUUCUUCCAUCUCUGAAGUGAAGUUUUGUUGUCUUGCGAUAUGUAGCUUCUCUUCCUGCGUUUUUGCCUUGGUUUCGAUUGCAGGUUUCAGUUUCAACAGGUUGGUUUGACAAUUCUCAUCUAAACAACAUCCUUGAUUGUAGCUUUGAAGGUUGAUUUUCAUUACAAUGUUUUAUGUCCAGCCAUCAAUGGUCGAGAUCAAAUGUAAAUCAACGGCCAAGAUUAGAUGAUAAACGCCAAUACGAGAUCUAAUAAACAAUGAAUUGGGAGUGUAGUUAAUUUUUAGUUAUAAAACUGUUAACUGUAGUUAAAAUUACUUAUGUAAUUUCCUAUUUAAGUAAUAGGAUAGGUGUGUUGUAUACAAGGAAGUAAUUCACUCAUGUAUUGGAUUCUUCAUCUUCUAAAUCAAACCCUAGUUUUGUAUCAAUUUGCCCAUCUGGUUAUCAUGUAUUUUUGUUGAGAUUUCAAAGUUUAGAUUCUGUUCAUUAUUUACUACUCAAUGGCUUAUUUGAAAUAUAUAUUUAGAUUUUUGAAUGAUAUUUUGAUAAUUCAAAAACAGACAACUCUAUUAGUUAUUAGCAUUUAAUAGGUUAUAUCAAUACUAGUACUUAGUAUGUCUGUUUUUCUCACUUAACAUUGAGCAGGGGGGGCCGGGGAAGGCGGAGGUUCUAAGAGCAGUGUUCGAAUCCACAAUGAUUUUCGAAUACAAGAACUUUUAUUUGAUAACUGGAAGAGGGUAGAUGGGGCUGCCUUAACUGCAUUGAGUUUGGACAUUGGAAGUCUUUACUACUCCCCCUUUUGUAAGGUAUGUCAUUAAAAGCUGUUGCUACUUCUUGUGAUUUAUAUAACUUCAUAUUCUAUUAUAUGUUUUUGUGAC